CCUCCCUCCCUCCCUUCAUUCCCUCCCUCCCUCUCUCCUUCCUUCUUUCCUUCUCUCCUCCCCGAGCGAGAGAGCGAGCGAGCUCCCCCUGCUGCUGCGCUUUGGUGGGGACACUUCGCCCACUUUGGCCCCGCUCUGGACGGAGAAAGCGAAGUACUAAGGCUCUUGACUCCCAGGAUUCUAUGGCCUUCAGUCAAAGCGUUGUCAAACCGCACUGAUUCCCCAGUUUAGAUGCCCCCUGAGAGUAAUUUAGCAAGUUAGGCUUUAAUUGGGUUGCUGUGAGUUUUCCGGGCUUGAUGGCCAUGUUCUAGAAGCAUUCUCUCCUGACGUUUCACCCACAUCUAUGGCAGACAUCCCCAGAGGCUGAGAGGUAUACAUAGAUGUGGGCGAAACAUAAGGAGAGAAUGCUUCUGGAACAUGGCCAUACAGCCCGGAAAACACACAACAACCCUUUUCUUGGAAAUUAGGCAAGUGGGGUUUAUAUAUCUAUAGAAUCAUAGAAUAGUAGAGUUGGAAGAGACCUCACAGGCCAUCCAGUCCAACCCCCUGCCAAGAAGCAGGAAAUCGCAUUCAAAGCACCCCCGACAGAUGGUCAUCCAGCCUCUGCUUAAAAGCCUCCAAAGAAGGAGCCUCCACCACAGUCCGGGGCAGAGAGUUCCACUGCCAAACAGCUCUCACAGUCAGGAAGUUCUUCCUGAUGUUCAGGUGGAAUCUCCUUUCCUGUAGUUUGAAGCCAUUGUUCCGCGUCCUAGAAAACAAGCUUGCUCCCUCCUCCCUAUGACUUGCCCUCACAUAUUUGUACAUAAUUAUCAUGUCUCCUCUCAGCCUUCUCUUCUGCAGGCUAAACAUGCCCAGUUCUUUAAGCCUCUCCUCAUAGGGCUUGUUCUCCAGACCUUUGAUCAUUUUAGUUGCCCUCCUCUGGACGCUUUCCAGCUUGUCAACAUCUCCCUUCAAUUGUGGUGCCCAGAAUUGGACGCAGUAUUCCAGGUGUGGUCUGACCAAGGCAGAAUAGAGGGGGAGCAUGACUUCCCUGGAUCUAGACACUAUACUCCUAUUGAUGCAGGCCAAAAUCCCUUUGGCUUUCUUAGCAGCCGCAUCACAUUGUUGGCUCAUGUUUAGCUUGUUGUCCACGAGGACUCCAAGGUCUUUUUCACACAUACUGCUGUCGAGACAGGCGUCCCCCAUUCUGUAUCUUUGCAUUCCAUUUUUUCUGCCGAAAUGAAGUAUCUUGCAUUUGUCCCUGUUGAACUUCAUUUUGUUAGUUUCGGCCCAUCUCUCUAGUCUGUUAAGAUCGUUUUGAAUUCUGCUCCUAUCUUCUGGAGUGUUGGCUAUCCCACCCAGCUUGGUGUCAUCUGCAAACUUGAUGAUCGUGCCUUCUAACCCUUCGUCUAAGUCGUUAAUAAAGAUGUUAAACAGAACCGGGCCAAGGACGGAACCGUGCAGCACUCCACUCGUGACUUUAUUCCAAGAUGAAGACGACGCAUUGGUUUCACUAUCCUCUCCACUAGCACCUGGAAAAGCGUCAUUUUCAGUCUGCUGCUCUGAGAAAAUUGGUGAAAGGUCUUACAGAAUCUCAGAAUCACAGAAUUGGAAGAAACCUCAUGGGCCAUCCAGUCCAACCCCCUGCCGGAAAUCACAUUGAAAGCACCCCUGACAGAUGGCCAUCCAGCUUCUGCUUAAAAGCCUCCAAAGAAGGAGCCUCAACCACACUCCGGGCAGAGAAUUUCAGUGCUGAACAGCUCUCACAGUGAGGAAGUUAUACAAUAAUAUGUGACCUUGCUCAGACGUCUCUUCUGAAUUUAACUCUGGGCCUAGCUCAUAAUCAGGAGCAUCAUCCCCAUUUCCAUUAUGCAUAUCAACAUGAACAUCAUUCCCAUCAUGAACUUCAUCCUGACCAUCAUUGACACAAUCACAGGCUGAACAGGCUGACAUACAACACCUGGCAACUUCUUGGGUGGCAUUGCAACCUGGAAGAAAGGGUGAAAGGGAAAUGUGGCCACCAGGCAGUAGGCAGGCACGGGGAUGUCCAGUCAGCCAGUCAGAGGAGAAUCUAUCGAACUGCGGCCAUAUCCCCAGAGAAGCGGAGUAGCAGGCGAUGGAAGGAAGAAGGCAAGCAGGCCAACCAUUUCCCAGGGCUGAUCACAGCUUGCACCACCCAAGGAGAGAAUGAAUGAGGGAGAGAGAAGAAGGCAGCUGCAGAGGCCACCAAGCCAGAUCAAAUGAUUUUACUGAUCUUAUAGGGCUGAUGGGCCAGACAUUCCCCAUUCCUGCCCUAAGAUGAUGGAUAAGAUGCCCUCUACUUCUGUUCCACGUGUAGCCGUUAUUUCCUAUCUUUUCCAAACCUUCACAUCUUCCAGUAAUGGAGUUAUGAUUGAGAUCUAGAAAAUGCUAAAUCCAUGAUUCCCUAACUCUUUUAUAUGUGUAUUGCUCUCAAACUCCCCAGAGCUUUUAAAAUACUCCUCAAAGCCUUUCCUAACUAAUUAUGAGGGUACUUUGUGCCAUGGAGAGCAUUACUGUGACUAGAUAUUGAAAAUCUGAGAAAAUAUCCCCUAUUUCUUUUAUGGAUUUUAUGGGAAAAUGUAAUCUUUGCUUGGGUUAUUCACUGUAAAUAAAAUGCCCACAGGGAAAAUCUCUCUGUGGGAAAUAUAUCCCUUCUCCUCAGUGGCUGUAAUGCUUUUAAAUGUAUGUUUUUUCUAAUCCAACCACUCUUGACAAUUCCCUGUAUCUUCUGAUAAGAGUAUGCUCCAGCAAAUAAAUAAAGCUAUGUCCCGUAGCAUAAUUA
Molecule: long non-coding RNA, 2782 nt
Organism: Anolis carolinensis (green anole)
Lineage: Eukaryota; Metazoa; Chordata; Lepidosauria; Squamata; Anolidae
Exons: 2
Source: RefSeq, a predicted model, not a curated record